This 1471-nucleotide long non-coding RNA is filed under the name Gossypium barbadense (sea-island cotton). RNAcentral describes it as "long non-coding RNA (GBAR_LNC011871)". Lineage: Eukaryota; Viridiplantae; Streptophyta; Magnoliopsida; Malvales; Malvaceae. The record is from RNAcentral.
GGAUCAACACAUGUACAAACAGUAAGUGUAUGGUAAGCUAUACAAAUAGAAGCUGAAUUAAAAUUGAGUUAAAAUAUGAAGGAUAAUUUAAAAAUAAGCUUUUGAAAUCAAGGUAGGGACUCAUGCAUCAUGCUUGCAAAUGUAGGAGGAUCCGAACUGGAAAUAAUUCAAGCUCCCAAAACGUUGUGUUGAAGCACAGACCCAUUCGUAAACACGAGCAAAUUACAGGGAUAGAUUUAGAAAUAAAACAAUGCAUAUAUGGCACAAUCGAAUGCUUGUGCAAACGGACAGGAUUAAUAGCACAAAUUUCCCUCCAAAGCCUAAACACAUGGAUUUCAUCCAAACGCAGGCCGGGUCAUCGCAUCGUGACUAUUGUACGGCGUCGCUUUUGAACCAUUGAAGUUGGUCUAAACGGCGCCGUUCCUUAUCCUUUAAGAAUGGCUAAAUUAGUCGACUUUUCCUUUGCCUUUAGCAAACCCCAAAUCGUCCCUUAACUGCUGAUUUUUUUUUGCAGCCUUUGCAGUCUUUGAAGAACCAUUUCAGCCUUGAUCUUCCUUCAACUUCAAUUCCAACGAAGCAAAGAGAAGAUCCUUGGCGUACUCGCACGGUAUUGCUCCCUUCCUUUGUUUUUCUUUAUUUUUUUUAAAAAAGACGCAAUAAUGAUGUAUUCUAAAAAACAAAUUGAAAAAGAAAUAAAGGGAAAAAAAACUUAGAGAAACUCGAAUCGAAAAUCACCUUGAACUUUGACUGAUUUUCUUUGUUUGAUUAAUAUGCGUAGUGUGCAUAAAAAAUUUGCAGGUACAUCAAUGGCUUUUAUAGCCAAAUUUACAAAAUAAAUAAAAAUAAAAAAAAAUCCUAUUUUCCUACUGUCAUCUGCUAUGAAUUCUGUUAUUGGCUCCUUCUGGUGUGUUCUUUUGCAGGCUCGGUUGUACAGAGGAGCGGGGAGACGUGCGAAGGAGGCCGUGCGAGGAGCCACUCGUGGGAGCCCUAACUCUCUGGCCUAUUCUGGCACGUUCCAGAAGCUUCUAGUGCUGCUGAGAUAAUUUUGGGUGUAUUGGGCCUCGGGUUUUAGGGUUUAUUUAAUUGGGUCAUAAUUGGGUUAAGGGUGUUUGUUCAAUUGGGUUAGAAAGUUUAUUAUUUGGCCUGAUGGUGUGUAAAACUUGGACAUUAUUAUGGAUAUUUGGACUUUAAUUUUUAGUUUAUUUUGUGUUUGUUGUGUUUUUUCUUUUUUGAUUUUUGGUAUAAGCCCGGACAAAAAUUAGGCCUUACACUGAUAUUGGGUGCACCGGCUCCCCAUAAAGGAAGAAUGUAAGCCAGUUCAGCAAAAACUCCGAAGAAUGAGGCCGGACGUCUUGCUAAAAAUAAAAGAAGAGGUUCGCAAACAGUUUGUCGCUGGAUUUUUAAAGGUGGUAAAAUACUCAGAUUGGGUAGCCAACAUCGUCCCCGUCCCUAAGAAAGACGAAAAAGUGCG